GCGAACGGGGAGCAGCCCAGAGUCUGAAUCAGCUUGUGUGUUAGUGGAACGGUCUGGAAAGUCCGACGGUACAGGGUGAUAGUCCCGUACACCAAAAUGCACAGGUUGUGAACUCGAAGAGUAGGGCGGGACACGUGGUAUCCUGUCUGAAUAUGGGGGGACCAUCCUCCAAGGCUAAAUACUCCUGACUGACCGAUAGUGAACCAGUACCGUGAGGGAAAGGCGAAAAGAACCCCGGCGAGGGGAGUGAAAAAGAACCUGAAACCGUGUACGUACAAGCAGUGGGAGCACCUUCGGGUGUGACUGCGUACCUUUUGUAUAAUGGGUCAGCGACUUAUAUUCUGUAGCAAGGUUAACCGUAUAGGGGAGCCGCAGGGAAACCGAGUCUUAACUGGGCGUUAAGUUGCAGGGUAUAGACCCGAAACCCGGUGAUCU
RNAcentral lists this ribosomal RNA (435 nucleotides) under Klebsiella pneumoniae. RNAcentral's name for it is "partial 23S ribosomal RNA". It matches the Rfam family "Bacterial large subunit ribosomal RNA", at positions 253 to 731 of the family's 2925-position model. The record is from RNAcentral. Lineage: Bacteria; Pseudomonadati; Pseudomonadota; Gammaproteobacteria; Enterobacterales; Enterobacteriaceae.